CCGAGAUUUGCCCGGGAAGAAUCCCAUUGCAGUGGCAAACAGGAUGGAACUAUUGAACUGAGGAAAAAAAGCCGGUUUAGUUCCCAAUUAAACUGAGAUAUAAAGGAAUGACUGGCGGAAUCAAAGGCUGAGCAGAAAUGAAAGCAGUGCCAAAAACUCAAGCUCGUUCCCACCGAUCCCGACGACGGAAUGUUUUGUUCAGCAGCGCCGGCUUAUUUUGAAGCUGUGUUAAGUUGUCCGGGGCCAUAGGUAACUGGGCCAUAGUGCUGAGUGAAUGCCCUAAACACCUGUCUUCAGGCAAAUUGGAUGCUAUGACGUUACUCCAGGACUCGGGCCGGUAUGAUCAGCGUUGGCAAAUUGUCGCUUUGCUCCUUCCUGGGCCGACAUCAACACCUUCUCGCUCUCCCGAUGGUAGCCGGUUAGGAAGGUAGAACAAACCUACCCCCGCACUGCUGCUGCAGAACGUAAUGCACCUUCGACGGGAACCAGUGCUGGUGGCGACAAUUUGAUUGU
Molecule: long non-coding RNA, 513 nt
Organism: Uranotaenia lowii
Lineage: Eukaryota; Metazoa; Arthropoda; Insecta; Diptera; Culicidae
Exons: 3
Source: RefSeq, a predicted model, not a curated record